Molecule: ribosomal RNA, 114 nt
Filed under: Acinetobacter calcoaceticus
Lineage: Bacteria; Pseudomonadati; Pseudomonadota; Gammaproteobacteria; Moraxellales; Moraxellaceae
Source: RNAcentral
GCUGGCGACCAUAGCAAGAGUGAACCACCUGAUCCCUUCCCGAACUCAGAAGUGAAACCUCUUCGCGCUGAUGGUAGUGNGGGUUACCCAUGUGAGAGUAAGUCAUCGCCAGCU